AAGUCGUAACAAGGUUUCCGUAGGUGAACCUGCGGAAGGAUCAUUACGAAAUUGUAGGCCGGUCUGACCGGUUCUAUUCUACCCUGUUUUUUGCGCACCUUUUGUUUCCUCGGUGGGCUUGCCUGCCGAUAGGACAAUUUCAACUCUUUAUGGUUUUUAGCAAUCAGCGUCAAAAUUUACUAAAUUGUAACAACUUUCAACAACGGAUCUCUUGGUUCUG
Molecule: unclassified non-coding RNA, 220 nt
Filed under: fungal sp.
Lineage: Eukaryota; Fungi
Description: partial internal transcribed spacer region
Rfam family: Eukaryotic small subunit ribosomal RNA (bases 1-46)
Source: RNAcentral